UAGGAUGAGAGAAGUGUAUGAUGAGAGAAGUGUAUGAUGAGAGAAGUGUAGGAUGAGAGAAGUGUAGGAUGAGAGAAGUGUAUGAUGAGAGAAGUGUAGGAUGAGAGAAGUGUAUGAUGAGAGAAGAGUAUGAGGAGAGAAGUGUAUGAGGAGAGAAGUGUAUGAGGAGAGAAGUGUACGAUGAGAGAAGUGUAUGAUGAGAGAAGUGUAUGAGGAGAGAAGUGUAUGAGGAGAGAAGUGUAUGAGGAGAGAAGUGUAUGAGGAGAGAGGUGUAUGAUGAGAGAAGUGUAUGAGGAGAGAAGUGUAUGAGGAGAGAAGUGUAUGAGGAGAGAAGUGUAUAAGGAGAGAAGUGUAUGAGGAGAGAAGUGUAUGAUGAGAGAAGUGUAUGAUGAGAGAAGUGUAUGAGGAGAGAAGUGUAUUAGGAGAGAAGUGUAUGAUGAGAGAAGUGUAUGAAAUCAUAACAGAAAUGGAAAUUUUGAAUUACUCAUUUAUUAUUUUACUUUCUCUAACUUAAUAUUUGAACUUUUAAUGAAGCGACUCAAAGGGAAUAAAACAGAAUAUUGGGCUUCUAUACUGUAUCAUUUACAAGAACGUAUUGACAAGAGAAGUACACUUUGCCAUUGUUUCUCUGCUUCUCAAAAUCACCAUUGCAUUGAGGUUUAUGUAUUCAGGACAUGAACACUAUUUUAGUAGAACCUAAGGUUACAGACAGUCUCAAUAUUCUUCUUACAUGUCAAUACUCUUUUCUAACUAUUGCUCACUGGUGGCCCCGCUCGAGUUUCAUCAAGUUGUGACAAUAUGCCAUGAGUGGAGCCACAGAUCCCAGAGCUGCCCUGAGGAGCAGGGCCGGAGGAAUGCGGUUGGACACAGUUCACCUGGAAACUUACAUAGAGCAUUAAGACAAGUAUAAACGUACAUCAAGCACUACUAGAAUGAACUGUGACAUGUAAACCUUAUACAAAUAAAACAAUCCGCAAGUUUGUUUUCAGAGAAAAAGUGUUUUCCUUGUUAUCUGUGCAUUUAGUGCACAAUUGCGUUGUUACACUGUAGUAAAUAUUUGUUGGGGGCUACAUUAUGUACACACUAAUAUAGACACAAUAUGAAUUUAUGAAAAACAUAUUUAUUACUUUGCUGUUCCUGAUGAUAGCCUGUUUCAAAAGUGUGUGUACGAGUGUGUGUGUGUAACUGCCCUCAUAUACACUAUAUAUACAGAAGUAUGUGGACAGCCCUUCAAAUUAGUGGAUUCGGCUAUUUCAGCCACACCGUUACUGACAGGUGUAUAAAAUCGAGCACACAGCCAUGCAAUCUCUAGAGACAAACAUUGGCAGUAGAAUGGCCUUACUGAAGAGUUCAGUGACUUUCAACAUGGCACCAUCAUAUGAUGCCACCUUUCCAACAAGUCAGUUCGUCACAUUUCUGCCCUGCUAGAGCUGCCCCGGUUAACUGUAAGUGCUGUUACUGUGAAGUGGAAACGUCUAGAAGCAACAAUGGCACAGCCACGAAGUGGUAGGUUACACAACAUCAGCACAAGAACUGUUCUUCGGGAGCUUCGUGAAAUGAGUUUCCAUGGCUGAGCAGCCGCACACAAGCCUAAGCGCACCAUGAGCAAUGUCAAGCGCCGGCUAGAAUGGUGUAAAGCUCGCCGCCAUUGGACUCUAGAGUAGUGGAAUCGCGUUCUCUAGAGUGAUGAAUCAUGCUUCACCAACUGGCAGUCCAACGGGAAAAUCUGGGUUUGGCGGAAGCUAGGAGAACGCUAGCUACCCCAAUGCAUAGUGCCAACUGUAAAGUUUGGUGGAGGAGGAAUAAUGGCCUGGGACUGUUUUUCAGUGAAAAUAAAUCUUAACGCUACAGCUUACAAUGACAUUAUAGAAGAUUCUGUGUUUCCAACUUCGUGGCAACAGUUUGGGGAAGGCCCUUUCCUGUUUUAGCAUGACAAUGCCCCUGUGCACAAAGAGAGAUCCAUACAGAAAUGGCUUGUCGAGAUCAGUGUGGAAAAACUUCACUGGCCUGCACAGAGCCUUGACCUCAAUCCCAUCGAACACCUUUGGGAUGAAUUGGAACGCCGACUGUGAGCCAGGCCUAAUCGCCCAACAUCAGUGCCCGACCUCACUAAUGCUCUUGUAGCUGAAUGGAAGCAAGUCCCUGCAGCAAUGUUCCAACAUCUAGUGGAAAGCCUACCCAGAAGAGUGGAGGCUGUUAUAGCAGCAAGGGGGGGACCAACUCCAUAUUAAUGCCCAUGAUGUUUGAAUGAGAUGUUCGACGAGCAGGUGUCCACUUAGUUUUGGUCAUAUAGUGUAGUUGUGUGUAUACACACACACGCUAUAUUUUUUCAUCCUCCAGAACAUCUGCAUGUUCCAGGGCUCCAAGCAGAUAUUAUUACAUUUGAAUUACAUUACAAAUGGCCAGGAGCUGGGAGAGAUAUAGUGAGCAUGUCUCUAUUCCCUCCAUUUUGUGUUCCUCGGGCUUAUUCCAAGGCAUUUUGUGAGAUAUGGCUUUUUCCACCCUUGUUCAUCCUCAAGCUCAUCU
Molecule: long non-coding RNA, 2526 nt
Filed under: Salmo salar (Atlantic salmon)
Lineage: Eukaryota; Metazoa; Chordata; Actinopteri; Salmoniformes; Salmonidae
Description: lncRNA (ENSSSAG00000106652.1)
Source: RNAcentral